CGCGGCGUAGCUCAGUCGGUAGAGCUUGCGUGUCGCUGGUUCAAGUCCGGGCCGCCGCAA
RNAcentral lists this transfer RNA (60 nucleotides) under Cupriavidus metallidurans. Its description in RNAcentral is "tRNA-Leu". The record is from RNAcentral. Lineage: Bacteria; Pseudomonadati; Pseudomonadota; Betaproteobacteria; Burkholderiales; Burkholderiaceae.